This is an RNA transcript of Eucalyptus grandis, 5067 nucleotides long. It is a transcript of the gene named TMV resistance protein N-like, with no coding region annotated. The transcript is spliced from 4 exons. NCBI's taxonomy places the organism in Eukaryota, Viridiplantae, Streptophyta, Magnoliopsida, Myrtales, Myrtaceae. The record is from RefSeq and is a predicted model, not a curated record.
UGCGUAUGGAAGAAUGGCUCUCUUGCUUUAGGGGCGAGCUCCCAUAGAUUUGAAAACAGAUCAACUCAGGUAUGUUUUGGGAAAACACUGCCAAAAACGAUGAAAUCGUGAUCAACUACAAAUGAAGAACGGUUGUUCAAGGGAGGUAUUUUCGUGGAAGCGUUCAGAAGUGAUCUUUCUUUGCAUCUCCUGUCUCUUCCGGUCAGCCCGAAUCAGUCAACAGUUGUUUUGGGACAAGAGAAAAGUUCAGUCGACCGUUUCUCUUAUACAUUGCCAAUGGGCGCGUAGCAUUUGGAGAGUAACAAGCAAAAAAGUUUGAUAUCGCUUUCCUAGCCAAAGAUCGUAGGAAUGGAACGUUCCAAAAGAAAGUCUUUCCCCCUUGGUGGUGAAUCCUCAUCGUCUUUGAGGAGGGACUACGAGGUGUUCUUGAGUUUCAGAGGGCCUGACACUCGCUUAACCAUCACCGACUCUCUGUACGCGGCCAUGAUUCGAGCCGAGAUACGCGUCUUUAAAGAUGAUGAAGAGCUUCGUGUUGGGGAAGAGAUCGGAGGUGAGCUCUUGAGGGCAAUCUCCAAUUCGAAAAUCUACAUACCGAUCUUCUCUAAAGGCUAUGCUUCCAGUAAAUGGUGCCUCCGUGAGCUCGCGUACAUGCUGGAGUGUAAGAAGAGAGGCGAGAAAGUAAUCUUGCCCAUCUUCUACGAGGUGGAAGCAUCCGAUGUUAAGCUCAAAACUGGGUCGUAUGGGAAAGCCCUACGAAAGCACGAGAGAGAAUCUAGUAAAGAUGCGGUGAAGCAAUGGAAGGAGGCCCUCAAAGAGGUCGCCGGACUCAAGGGAUGGAACUUGAAAGAUCAUGGCCAGGAUAAACUUAUAGCACUUGUUUUGGAAGAAGUUUUCAAUAAGCUGAGGUAUACACAGAGAUAUUGGCAUGAUGACUUGGUGGGAAUUCAAUAUCAGAUGGAAACCGUUAUCGAGUUGUUAGGCCAAGGAAUUCCCGGUGUACGAUUUGUUGUGAUUCACGGUAUGGGUGGUAUUGGGAAAACAACUCUUGCUAAGGCCAUCUUCAAGCAUAUCUCUUCUCAGUUUCAAUGUUCCAGCUUUCUUUCCGAUAUCCGUGCAGACAAUAUUUUAAGUCUGCAGAAUAAGUUAUUAUGUGACCUUCUCGAUGAUAGGUAUCCCUAUGUUAAUGAUGCUGAUGUGGGGAUGCACAUGAUUAAGGAAAGACUUUGUAAUAAGAAAGUCAUUGUUGUUCUUGAUGAUUUAAACAAGAGGUACAAGCUCAUGAAACUAGCUGGUAAGUCUAGUUGGUUUGGUUCAGGAAGCAGAAUUAUUAUCACAACUAGGAACACCCAUUUUUUGGCUCCUGAAACAGACACCCUAGAUGACAAUAUCAUCCCAGUGCAUUACCGAGAUUUCUUUUUUUAUGAAAUGAAGGAAAUGCAGUUUGACCAUGCUCUUCAACUUUUUAGCAAGCACUCCUUCGAAAGGGAUUCACCUCCACAUGAUUACAACAAUAUUUCAAGUGAAAUUGUCAAAUUUAUUGGAGGACUACCUUUGGCUCUUGAGGUUAUAGGUUCAUCACUCCAUUCAAAAAGCAAGAGAACUUGGAAAGACACAUUGAAGAAGUUGAAGAAAGUGCCCAAUCAAGAUGUCCAUAAAAAGUUGUCGAUAAGUUACGAAGAAUUAGAGUAUGAGCAACAACAAAUUUUUCUCGACAUCGCCUGUCAUUGCAUUGGUGAAGAAAGAAUCCCCGCAUAUUACAUGUGGAAAGCUUGCGAUUUUUUUCCAAAAACUGGACUCGUGUCCUUAUUCAUUUAUCUUUGAUAAAGUUCAUUGAGGAUGAUAGAUUAUGGAUGCACGACCAACUCAGAGAUCUUGGAAGAGAGAUUGUUCGGCAACAAUGCAUUCAAGUUCCUGGAAGGCGUAGUAGGUUGUGGUGUCCUACAAUCGCCUUAGAUGUUGUUCAGAAUAACUUGGUAUGUCUUACUAAAAGUUAUUUGCUUAUGGAAAAACUACACAUGCAGUUAUGUGCAUUAAAGUUCAUUUUCACACAAAAUAUCCGCUCAUUUUUGUACCCAAGACAAUUAUGACAUUGCAUAAUUUGAGAGAUUUCAAAAUAGAUAAUUCUUACCAUUACAACUCCCAUCUAAAUUGGAGAGAUAAGAGUUCAUGGAAUUCGCCCUUUUUGGUACAAAAUAAGAUCUAUGUGCCCCAUUUUUGCUCAUUCACUUAUGUUUUCUAUUGGUUGAAAUAAGAUACAUACUUCCUAUUUUGUUAUCUAGAAUUUACUCUAAAUUGUUCACUCAUAUCGGUAUCUAUUGCUUCAAAUUAUCAGGGAACAAAAAACAUUGUAGCACUCAGACUCCCAAGACUUGCCAACAUGCACAAUUUUACAAGUGAUGAAUUUUCAAGGCUACCUAGUUUGAGGUUCCUCGAAAUAGAUGGGGGAAACUUGGUUGGAGACUUCAAAAAUCUUCUCUCAAAUCUAACAUGGCUCUCUUGGCGUCAUUGCCCUUCAAACCUACAUGCCCAUGGUUUAUGUCUAAGGAACUUGGUUGUUCUCAAGCUUUUAGAGAGCGCCAUUACUGAAGAUUGGAAUGGAUGGGCAUCAUGCAUGGUCAAUGAUAACCUAAAGGUCAUAUAUUUUAGAAAUUGUCAUCGCUUAAUGAGGACACCUAACUUCUCCAAGUGCUUGAAUUUGAAAAGAUUGGUUAUCGAAGAUUGUACAAUGUUAGAAGAAACUGAUAGCUCUAUUGGUCAACUAGGACGCCUAAAGUACAUGGAAAUCAAUAAGGAGGGUUGUAUUUCUAUCAUUCAGCAUUCUGGCGGUGUCAACAAUUUUGUCUCUCCUCUAUUACCAGACUCGAUUGGUGGUUUGAAGUCCUUGUCAAUGUUGAAAGUGGAAAAUAACAAUGAUGUUGGAGCACUUCCACACUCAAUAGGAGAGCUACUAGAUUUGAAACAUCUAUCUCUACAUUGUUGUACAGUGCUUAGUAAGCUUCCGAAUUCAAUUGGAGAGUUGAGAUCGCUUCUCUUUUUGGAUUUAUCUUGUACUCGUAUAAGUACAAUACCGGAUUCUAUUGGAAGACUAGAACAACUACUCAAAAUGGAUCUAUCUCAUACAAAUAUUGCAGAAUUACCUAAUUCUAUUGGCAACCUUAGACGGUUGAAGUUUAUGUGUUUGGAUUGGACGAAGAUAAGAGAGCUACCUAAGAGCAUAUGGACUUUAGAGAAUCUUGAGGAGUUGAUUGCCAAAGGCUGUCGAAAUCUCGAGGGAAAAAUUCCAAGUGAAAUCACGGGACUAUCCAAAUUGACUAUUUUGAACUUGUCCGAGAGCAUGAUUAGUAGAUUGCCAACAACAAUCAAUCGGCUCUCUAAUCUUCGAGAACUUGUUUUAUCAUGUUGUGUUAAGCUACUAUCGUUGCCAAAUCUCCCGACAAGUUUAAGAAAACUAGAGUUGUCCUCUUCAUCACUGCUAGUAAUACCCGACCUCUCAAACCUUACUAAUCUACUUCAUCUGGACAUAAGUGAUCGUGCUUUUGACUUUAAGCUCUUUAAAACUACACAAGGACGAGUUCCAAUUCCGAACUUGGAGUGCCUUGGAAGGCUACAUGAAUUGCAGAUGUUAAGAUUGGUUCUUUCCAAUGCCAACUUGCCUCCGACUGACUUGAGCUCCCUUUCUCAGCUCCGGUCACUUGAAAUAACUUGUCCAGACCCCCGUUCACUGAUUGGGCUCCCGUCCAAUUUAGAAGACUUGAGUUUAGAAGAUGUCGAGACACCAACAAAAUGGCCAUGGUCCUCCAACUUGGGUAAUUUGUCUCAAUUAAAGCUCUUUGGUUGCCGGUUAAGAAAGAUUGAGUUUGACAGUGAACUUGGACAGCUGAAGAGUGUCCAGCAUUUGCAAGUGCGCGAGUGCAUAUGGCUCGUGACACUAUCUAAUCUAUCAAGCUUAAAGGAGCUGCGAGUGCUGAGCGUGGAGUACUGCCCGCACCUAACCGAGAUCGAAUCCCAACCAUCUUCAACUGGAGAUUGUAGUUCCACGGAAAGGCCCAUUCCUGAUGCCCCGAAGCUAGAGAAGCUCCAGUCUUUGAGAGUCUACUACUGCGAAUCAGUGCAAAAGUUGCCUACUAUACCGAAUGCAUGUGAUGUUGAGGUUAGCCCACCGAAAUAUGUAAGAAGGUCUGAAAGUGGGCCCGUCUUCAUAGAGGAUCUCGCUGAUUCCCGAGAAGCUAUGAAUAUGGAGACAUGGACGAGAUUCUCUGAAUCCGAAAUUUUCCAAGAAGAGUUCACUGAAGAAGAUUUAGGCCCAAGAGAUCUCAGCCCGCUGAGGACCUCUCCUGAAAAAGAAAAUUUAGGCCCAAGAGGCCUUAGCCCACUUUCCUUAGCCCAUCUUCUUGUUUCCUUCUGGAGAUGGUUCAUAGGAAAAAUAAAGAGCAUGAAAAGACAGGAGUGAGUCGGCAAAAGAAAGUGAAAACAGAAAAGAGGAAAUUGAGGGUGGGAAGAAAGGGGGUUCCGUUGCAUGCACGCUUUGGAGGUCUCAACAAGCUAGAUUAAUACCGUUUGGAAGCGCUGGUGUUGUAGGUAUGCAUACAUGUUCUUGGGAUGUCCUACAUGGCCAAAGCAACUGGCUGACAAUAGUGGAGACCUACUUCAAGGGGGGAAUCUUGGUAAGCCUUACCACGAGGCGUUAAACGUGGCCAUAGUUUGAUAUUAAGUAUUGGAGUGAUUAAUGGAUCAAACUACUACUGUUUAUUAUUGAUCAAAUGAGUGUUUCUGAUACGUAUUAAACUUUGUUGAAGUGAUAUAAUUCAUAUUUGGACUUUUAUAUAUUUUAUAUAUUGGAUUUGGAUAUGUUUCUAAUAUUGUUUAUAAUUGUGUAUAGUGGAUACUCGAUUUGCUAAGAAGAAUUUUAACUACUCAUUGAGCAGUGAUUUACUUAUAUCAUUCAUCUAAAUUCUUUUUGAGUUGCCAACAAAUAGGAUGAGAGCGAUCAAUAGAAAUGUGGAUUUUGGGUAUAAGUUGAGAUAAUGAUACGUAUCAUUUGUAAUGGUACUUCUUGGAUUUAGUUUG